AAUUAAAUCAUGUAUAUUUGGUAUUUCCUUCAGACUACUUGUGUAAAAGAUUAGUUUUAUUUCCGCAAUUUUAAUGUUUCCCGAUUCAGUUAUGUAUGCUCGUAUUGAUAUUCUAGAUAAAUCAAUAUGGGGUGUUAUAGGUAGAAUGUGCAGAGAGGGUGCUGAGGAUUAGGAACAUUUGAUUUUUCCUCCGUUUUUGUUUGGAUGUAUUUAGGAUAUAGUGAUACAAUCAACAAGUGAACAGAUUUUGUAGGGUUUCUGGUUUUUUGUCUGCACUUAUAUCUGUGUUGGAAUGCAGCCUUGAUUAUUAUAUUCUGAUCCUUCUCGGAGUUGUGGCAUAUGCUUAGUUGUUUGUUUGAAUGGUGCACCACUCUCCCAUCGUGUUUUUACCCAGUUGUUUGUUUUUACAGACAAGCAUUACUAACCAAAUCUAAUUUCAAUUUUCACCCUAUUUUUCGACGUUGACACAGAUUGUCCACUUGUUGGUUCACACAUCACGACCAAAAUAUUUUUCCUCUAUGCUCUCUUCCUCUUUGUGAUUUGCAAAGUCACACUCCCACUCUCUCUUUUCUCUCUCUCUCAACCCUCUUCUCUCCUGUAUAGUUAACCAAACAUAUUCUUCAUCAUCUCAUCUAUUGGUAGUAACUGAGGUCAUCUCAUCUAUUGGUAGUAACUGAGGUAUGCGUUUGUUUUGUUGUUUUUUCCUUGCAUAGAUUUUUCUGUUCUGUCUCUUUAUGGCUUUAUUUAGUGAUAUUAAUUCUGAAUGAUACCUGAUAUGAAAAGUGCUUUUAGGCGUGGCUUCAUUUCAAAUCAUGUUUCAUGUUUUAGCUAUUGGACUCUUACGUUAGGCUGAAUUUUCACUCAGAAAAAUAUAUGGUAGCAAAAGAAAUGCUUGAUGGACAUAUUCCGAGGAAUUGUAGCAAGAAAUGUUUGAUGAAUAUAUUCAGGGGAAUUGGAGACACUUUUCAUAAUGCAUUUUUGUUUGAAAAUUUAGUUUCAAUUUGAGAAUUUAUAAAUAAUUUGUGCUAUUACUAUUAUUUAGACUAUUAUUGUUCCCUUUAUAUUGCUAUGAGACUUCAUUCAUGUAUUAUUUGAGACCCUUGCAUAAUCUGAGAAAUCUUUCAUUCAUGUUUUCUAAUAAAGUGGUUAAUUUCUACUCUAGUAGAUCACAGCGUGUAUUUUAGUCUGUGCAAUGAAAUUAUUUUAAUAUAGUCCGGUGCCAUUUUAUAAUCUGCUGUAUAUUUUUUCCUGUCUAAAGGUAAUACACUAAUGGUGUUGAUGGUGUUGAAAUGGAUUUCUGAAUAUAGGAGAGGAACAUGCUUAGUCCUGAAGGAGAAAUUAAAAUAAGUUUUGGCUACAAAUGCAAUAGUGAUAGAGGUAUCCCUAUCGAGAUUGCCAUCGGCUACAAAAAUCCUCCCAUAGUCCGUUGAGCAAGUAAUUUCUCUAGCUUGUCAGGUUCAGCCUUAAGUGCAAAUGCUACACUAGUCAACACAA
RNAcentral lists this long non-coding RNA (1494 nucleotides) under Trifolium pratense (red clover). RNAcentral's name for it is "long non-coding RNA (TPRA_LNC000457)". The record is from RNAcentral. Lineage: Eukaryota; Viridiplantae; Streptophyta; Magnoliopsida; Fabales; Fabaceae.